AACGUAGGUACCGAGCGUUAUCCGGAUUUAUUGGGUGUAAAGGGCGCGUAGGCGGCUCGCUAAGUCGGAUGUGAAAACUCUGGGCUCAACCCAGAGCCUGCAUUCGAAACUGACGAGCUCGAGUACUCGAGGGGAAAGCGGAAUUCCUGGUGUAGCGGUGAAAUGCGUAGAUAUCAGGAGGAACACCGGUGGCGAAGGCGGCUUUCUGGACAGUAACUGACGCUGAUGCGCGAAAGCUAGGGGAGCAAACAGG
RNAcentral lists this ribosomal RNA (253 nucleotides) under uncultured Acidobacteriota bacterium. RNAcentral describes it as "uncultured Acidobacteria bacterium partial 16S ribosomal RNA". It matches the Rfam family "Bacterial small subunit ribosomal RNA", at positions 524 to 776 of the family's 1533-position model. The record is from RNAcentral. Lineage: Bacteria; Pseudomonadati; Acidobacteriota.